This 497-nucleotide ribosomal RNA is filed under the name uncultured bacterium. RNAcentral describes it as "partial 16S ribosomal RNA". It matches the Rfam family "Bacterial small subunit ribosomal RNA", at positions 28 to 507 of the family's 1533-position model. The record is from RNAcentral.
GAUGAACGCUGGCGGCGUGCGUAAUACAUGCAAGUCGAGCGAACGGACGAGAAGCUUGCUUCUCUGAUGUUAGCGGCGGACGGGUGAGUAACACGUGGAUAACCUACCUAUAAGACUGGGAUAACUUCGGGAAACCGGAGCUAAUACCGGAUAAUAUUUUGAACCGCAUGGUUCAAAAGUGAAAGACGGUCUUGCUGUCACUUAUAGAUGGAUCCGCGCUGCAUUAGCUAGUUGGUAAGGUAACGGCUUACCAAGGCAACGAUGCAUAGCCGACCUGAGAGGGUGAUCGGCCACACUGGAACUGAGACACGGUCCAGACUCCUACGGGAGGCAGCAGUAGGGAAUCUUCCGCAAUGGGCGAAAGCCUGACGGAGCAACGCCGCGUGAGUGAUGAAGGUCUUCGGAUCGUAAAACUCUGUUAUUAGGGAAGAACAUAUGUGUAAGUAACUGUGCACAUCUUGACGGUACCUAAUCAGAAAGCCACGGCUAACUACGUG